Molecule: small RNA, 177 nt
Filed under: Deinococcus gobiensis I-0
Lineage: Bacteria; Thermotogati; Deinococcota; Deinococci; Deinococcales; Deinococcaceae
Description: hypothetical noncoding RNA
Source: RNAcentral
CGCGUCUGUUGGAACCUGCGAGGAGGAACACCCUUCCUUUACCCGAUCUGCGGCCCUGGUCAUCGUUGAGACCGCAGGUCUGGACAGUGAGCACCCGCCGUGAUGAGGGCUGGUUGCUGCGGCGGUCCACGGGGUCCAGGCCCCUCGCGCCGACUCUGGAUAAAGGCGACCCCGUCG